RNAcentral lists this long non-coding RNA (546 nucleotides) under Astyanax mexicanus (Mexican tetra). RNAcentral describes it as "lncRNA (ENSAMXG00005001016.1)". Lineage: Eukaryota; Metazoa; Chordata; Actinopteri; Characiformes; Acestrorhamphidae. The record is from RNAcentral.
UGUUCUUUUAAAGAUUGCUGUGUGGUGGUUUCUUCGAUACCUUCACAUAAUUAUGUUGACACCUGGGCUGUGACAAGAAAAACGAGUUACCCCUGCCCCGCCCCGUCCUGCCCGACUCUCCUCCUCCGAUCAGCAGAGCUGUUCUGCUGGCUUUCUCUCUCUCUCACUCUCUCACUCUCUCGCACGCUCUCUUGUGGAAUGGACUUGCUUAUUGAUUAACACACCCUGUCUGAAGCUUUGCAGGACUGUACAGGGAGAAGCUGUGACAGUGUAGGGAAUUUGCGGAGUUUGAUCUCACAGAGUCAUCUCAGAGUGACAGACCUGCAGAGAGAGACUGAACAGGAGAUUAUACGUGUGAGACAACAGCUGAGAUCAGUACGGCUACAGCAGAAAAUCCUGACCUGUGAACUACCAAGUCAAGAUAUUCUGCAGACUGAGGCUGAACACUUACCACAAAGAGCCGUAAACACAGAGACCUGUAACGUAAGUAGCCUAGACUCACAGUGACCAAUUACAACCAGUGUUAGUGUACACCCACUGGCCACU